AGAGUUUGAUCAUGGCUCAGGAUAAACGCUGGCGGCGCACAUAAGACAUGCAAGUCGAACGGACUUAACCUUUAGUUUACUAUUGGAGCGGUUAGUGGCGGACUGGUGAGUAACGCGUGAGCAACCUGCCUAUCAGAGGGGAACAACAGUUAGAAAUGACUGCUAAUACCGCAUAUGCCUAAGUAUCACAUGAUACAAUAGGGAAAGGAGCAAUCCGCUGAUAGAUGGGCUCGCGUCUGAUUAGAUAGUUGGUGGGGUAACGGCCUACCAAGUCGACGAUCAGUAGCCGGACUGAGAGGUUCAACGGCCACAUUGGGACUGAGAUACGGCCCAGACUCCUACGGGAGGCAGCAGUCGGGAAUAUUGCGCAAUGGAGGAAACUCUGACGCAGUGACGCCGCGUGCAGGAAGAAGGUUUUCGGAUUGUAAACUGCUUUAGACAGGGAAGAAAAAGACAGUACCUGUAGAAUAAGCUCCGGCUAACUACGUGCCAGCAGCCGCGGUAAUACGUAGGGAGCAAGCGUUAUCCGGAUUUAUUGGGUGUAAAGGGUGCGUAGACGGGAUAGUAAGUUAGUUGUGAAAUCCCCAGGCUCAACUUGGGAACUGCAACUAAAACUGUUAUUCUUGAGUGUUGGAGAGGAAAGUGGAAUUCCUAGUGUAGCGGUGAAAUGCGUAGAUAUUAGGAGGAACACCAGUGGCGAAGGCGACUUUCUGGACAAUAACUGACGUUGAGGCACGAAAGUGUGGGGAGCAAACAGGAUUAGAUACCCUGGUAGUCCACACCGUAAACGAUGGAUACUAGGUGUAGGGUGUGAUAAACGCUCUGUGCCGUCGCUAACGCAAUAAGUAUCCCACCUGGGGAGUACGGCCGCAAGGUUGAAACUCAAAGGAAUUGACGGGGGCCCGCACAAGCAGUGGAGUAUGUGGUUUAAUUCGACGCAACGCGAAGAUCCUUACCAGGGCUUGACAUAUACAGUAAUAUAUUAGAGAUAGUAUAGCUCUUCGGAGACUGUAUACAG
This 1018-nucleotide ribosomal RNA is filed under the name uncultured rumen bacterium. RNAcentral's name for it is "bacterial SSU rRNA". It matches the Rfam family "Bacterial small subunit ribosomal RNA", at positions 8 to 1037 of the family's 1533-position model. The record is from RNAcentral.